UCCAGGGUAGCCUAGUGGACAUGGCAUCCGCCCGGUAAGCGGAACACUGUGGGUUCGAUUCCCAUCCCUGGAC
RNAcentral lists this transfer RNA (73 nucleotides) under Cordylochernes scorpioides. RNAcentral describes it as "tRNA-Thr". It matches the Rfam family "tRNA". From Rfam's summary of the family: Transfer RNA (tRNA) molecules are approximately 80 nucleotides in length. Lineage: Eukaryota; Metazoa; Arthropoda; Arachnida; Pseudoscorpiones; Chernetidae. The record is from RNAcentral.